CCUACGGGUGGCAGCAGUGGGGAAUAGUGCGCAAUGGGCGAAAGCCUGACGCAGCGACGCCGCGUGAGGGAUGAAGGUCUUCGGAUCGUAAACCUCUGUCAGCAGGGAAGAACGGUCACUGGGCUAAGCAGCAGUGAAUUGACGGUACCUGCAAAGGAAGCACCGGCGAACGCCGUGCCAGCAGCCGCGGUAAUACGGAGGGUGCGAGCGUUAAGCGGAAUUACUGGGCGGAAAGCGCGCGUAGGCGGUAUGUCAAGUCAAGGGUGAAAUCCCCGCGCUCACCUUGGGAACUGCCUGUGAAACUGGCAAACUGGAGUGUGUGAGCGGCUAGUGG
RNAcentral lists this ribosomal RNA (334 nucleotides) under uncultured bacterium. RNAcentral describes it as "partial 16S ribosomal RNA". It matches the Rfam family "Bacterial small subunit ribosomal RNA", at positions 338 to 664 of the family's 1533-position model. The record is from RNAcentral.